GGGUGAGUAACACGUAUGGAACCUGCCCGUAGCAGGGGGAUAAGCGGAAGAAAUUCCGUCUAAUACCGCGUAAUAACUCCGAGAGGCAUCUCCUAGGGUUUAAAGGGUAACACCGGCUACGGAUGGCCAUGCGGCGCAUUAGCUAGUUGGCGGGGUAACGGCCCACCAAGGCGACGAUGCGUAGGGGUUCUGAGAGGAAGGUCCCCCACACUGGUACUGAGACACGGACCAGACUCCUACGGGAGGCAGCAGUGAGGAAUAUUGGUCAAUGGGCGCGAGCCUGAACCAGCCAAGUCGCGUGAGGGAAGACGGUCCUAUGGAUUGUAAACCUCUUUUGUCGGGGAGCAAAAGACGCCACGCGUGGCGUUCCGAGAGUACCCGAAGAAAAAGCAUCGGCUAACUCCGUGCCAGCAGCCGCGGUAAUACGGAGGAUGCGAGCGUUAUCCGGAUUUAUUGGGUUUAAAGGGUGCGCAGGCGGAAGAUCAAGUCAGCGGUAAAAUUGAGAGGCUCAACCUCUUCGAGCCGUUGAAACUGGUUUUCUUGAGUGAGCGAGAAGUAUGCGGAAUGCGUGGUGUAGCGGUGAAAUGCAUAGAUAUCACGCAGAACUCCGAUUGCGAAGGCAGCAUACCGGCGCUCAACUGACGCUCAUGCACGAAAGUGUGGGUAUCGAACAGGAUUAGAUACCCUGGUAGUCCACACAGUAAACGAUGAAUACUAAUUGUUCGGG
This 727-nucleotide ribosomal RNA is filed under the name uncultured bacterium. Its description in RNAcentral is "bacterial SSU rRNA". It matches the Rfam family "Bacterial small subunit ribosomal RNA", at positions 104 to 828 of the family's 1533-position model. The record is from RNAcentral.